RNAcentral lists this non-coding RNA (191 nucleotides) under Oxobacter pfennigii. Lineage: Bacteria; Bacillati; Bacillota; Clostridia; Eubacteriales; Clostridiaceae. The record is from RNAcentral.
UAGAAUAUUCCAUUACCGGGUACCCGUUUUAUAGAAAUGGGUUAAAAGGGAAAGUGGUGAAAGACCACUGCAGCCCACCGUUACUGUGAUGCUGACGAAACCUUGAAAAAAAUCACUGGGAGUAUAUUCCGGGAAGAUUAGGGAGUAGAAUGAAGCUCAGCCAGGAAACCUGCCCGAUAAUUGUUGAGUCU